RNAcentral lists this ribosomal RNA (253 nucleotides) under uncultured bacterium. RNAcentral's name for it is "partial 16S ribosomal RNA". It matches the Rfam family "Bacterial small subunit ribosomal RNA", at positions 524 to 776 of the family's 1533-position model. The record is from RNAcentral.
UACGGAGGGUGCAAGCAUUGAUCGGAAUUAUUGGGCGUAAAGGGCGCGUAGGCGGUCUGGAAAGUCAGAUGUGAAAUCCCGGGGCUCAACCCCGGAGCAGCAUUUGAAACUUCCAGACUAGAGUACAUUUAGGGAAAACGGAAUUCCACGUGUAGCGGUGAAAUGCGUAGAUAUGUGGAAGAACACCGGUGGUGAAGACGGUUUUCUGGGAUGAAACUGACGCUGAGGCGCGAAAGCUAGGGGAGCAAACAGG